AAAAUAUAUCCAUCAUAAUUGUAUCCGGCAAGGUACUCGUCAGAUCCAAAACCAUCUCCUCCAUUCGCCUUCAAAUUGAUACUCUGGCGGCAGACCUAAUCGCCUUCCGAUUCUGUUUCAAUCGGACUUGCAACAGUUGCAGCAGUGCGACGCAGUCAAACUAGCUGCUUUGUUAAUGACAGUUAAAGCUAAAUAUGCUUUAUAGAUAGCACAGGUUCAGGAGAAAGGGUUUCCCCCCUAUGCAAUUAUUGAUGAUACGGGUGUGGAUUUUAAGAUCAAGCUGCUCACUGUUGGUGGGAAGAAGUUGAAGCUUACAAUUUGGGAUACCGCUGGACAAGAGAGGUUCA
Coffea eugenioides is the source of this 347-nucleotide long non-coding RNA. RefSeq lists it as uncharacterized. NCBI's taxonomy places the organism in Eukaryota, Viridiplantae, Streptophyta, Magnoliopsida, Gentianales, Rubiaceae. The transcript is spliced from 3 exons. The record is from RefSeq and is a predicted model, not a curated record.